This 310-nucleotide unclassified non-coding RNA is filed under the name Hevea brasiliensis (rubber tree). Lineage: Eukaryota; Viridiplantae; Streptophyta; Magnoliopsida; Malpighiales; Euphorbiaceae. The record is from RNAcentral.
UAAGACUCAAUUUACCCAAAUAAGUACUCGAAAUACAUAUGAAAAGAACACCAGCAAUAAGGGAUUUUUGAUGAUAUAAGCAUCAAUAUAGGCAACUUCCUGUCUAAAAAAUAUCAUCUCAAGCCUAAGUAAUCGAACAACAUUUCCAAAGACCAUCAGCAAGCAUUUUUAAUAUAAGCAUCAAAGUAGGCAUUUUCCUGUCCAAAAGAUCUCCUCUCAAGCCCAAAUACGUAUUCCAACAAUUUGCCAGGAAUAAAAAAUAUAGUAAUUUUUGUAAUGCAAGCACCAAAGCAGGCACUUCUAUCUCAAG